Sarcophilus harrisii (Tasmanian devil) is the source of this 498-nucleotide long non-coding RNA. RefSeq lists it as uncharacterized. NCBI's taxonomy places the organism in Eukaryota, Metazoa, Chordata, Mammalia, Dasyuromorphia, Dasyuridae. The transcript is spliced from 3 exons. The record is from RefSeq and is a predicted model, not a curated record.
GGUACUCAUGGCUCAUUGGUAGACUCUGCUCUUGGAUUCCUCACUUGGGAGGACAAAGCAGAGACCUCCUCUCAAAAUUUCUGUUUAAAGAGGGAGAACAUCCAAUUAAGCCACCUCUCCAUCUGUCACCAGACUGUACUUGGGAUUUUUCAUCAUGCUCCCUUGCCAGUGCUGUGACCAUGACUUUUAUCAAACAAGCUACAUUCUAAUAAAUGCCCAGCUUGGAGACCUACAGCAUUUAAAUGGUGGAGUAAAAGGGCUCUAUCGGGGAUACAAGGUAUGCCUCCAAGUGACCAGGCUCAAUGUGUUAGAUGGAAACUAGAACAGCUUUGAAUUGGAGACCCAAGAAGCUCACAUGAGACCAGGAACACAGUAGUGAUUAGAUACAAAACAGACAGUUUAUCUGUGACUUAAAAGACAAUCACAAAGGUCUAAAGAUCCAGGAAAUAAAGAUAUCAGUGGAAUUUUCACCAUGACCUGUGUGCUCCAUACUAUUUU